Molecule: ribosomal RNA, 577 nt
Filed under: Hepatozoon sp.
Lineage: Eukaryota; Apicomplexa; Hepatozoidae
Description: SSU rRNA
Rfam family: Eukaryotic small subunit ribosomal RNA
Source: RNAcentral
UAAAAUGCUUUGUAAUUGGAAUGAUAGAAAUUUAAACACUUUUUAAAGUAUCAAUUGGAGGGCAAGUCUGGUGCCAGCAGCCGCGGUAAUUCCAGCUCCAAUAGCGUAUAUUAAAAUUGUUGCAGUUAAAAAGCUCGUAGUUGAAUUUCUGUUAAAAAUAACCGGUCUGCUUUUAUUAAAAGUGGUAUCUUGGUGUGUUUUUAGCAAUAAUGUCCUUUGAAAUGUUUUUUACUUUAUUGUAAUAAGUCAUUAUUUUGAGGAUUUUUACUUUGAGAAAAUUAGAGUGUUUCUAGCAGGCUUACGCUUUUGAAUACUGCAGCAUGGAAUAAUAAGAUAGGAUUUUAGUUCUACAUUAUUGGUUUUAAGAACUAAAUUAAUGAUUGAUAGGGAUAGUUGGGGGCAUUUGUAUUUAACUGUCAGAGGUGAAAUUCUUAGAUUUGUUAAAGACAAACUACUGCGAAAGCAUUUGCCAAAGAUGUUUUCAUUAAUCAAGAACGAAAGUUAGGGGAUCGAAGACGAUCAGAUACCGUCGAAGUCUUAACUAUAAACUAUGCCGACUAGAGAUUGGAGGUCAUCU